UCCAGCUUUGGCAAAGAGGCAAUAGAACGAAGGGAUUCACUCGUCACCUUGAGAUAAGACACAUCAAGAUGCUUUAAUUCGGGGCACUUCUUACACAAAAGAUCAAUACCCAGAUCAGAUAUCUCCAUGCACCACUUCAAGCUUAGCCUCUCCAAUCUUCCACACCGCACAGCUAUCUUCGCCAACCCAACAUCACUGACUCCCAAGCACUUAUCCAUCUUCAGCUCCCUCAAACCUCCAGCACACGAUAUUGCCGCCGCCUCCCUGUCUCCGAACCCGCAACAGUACGACACAUAGAGCCGUUCCAGAAACGGGCAAGCCCGUAUCAGCAUCUCCAUCGCUGAGAAUUUCAAGCCGGUGGCUCUACCCAGGUUCAAAGAUUUCAGCUUCCACAGCG
This 397-nucleotide unclassified non-coding RNA is filed under the name Hevea brasiliensis (rubber tree). Lineage: Eukaryota; Viridiplantae; Streptophyta; Magnoliopsida; Malpighiales; Euphorbiaceae. The record is from RNAcentral.